ACGGCCACAUCAGCUUACACCAGUUUUCAUACGAUUACUGAAGUUAAACCAUGUUAAGCCUGGUCAGUACCUAGAUGGGUAACCACUUGGGAAUAUCAGAUGUUGUAAG
Acanthosepion pharaonis is the source of this 109-nucleotide non-coding RNA. The record is from the annotation of a GenBank genome assembly. NCBI's taxonomy places the organism in Eukaryota, Metazoa, Mollusca, Cephalopoda, Sepiida, Sepiidae.